UUUAGGAAGAUUUUGCAAUAGCUACCAUAAAAUAGUAGCCACUAUAACAAAACGAAUUUCAGUCUUUUAUUUACGUUGACUCACGAGAACAGUUGAUUAUGCUAACUUUUUAAUUUUUAAUUAAAAUUAAUUUUUCAAUAAAAAUACCCACUUUCUCAUCCACGUUCCUGUGAAGCGGUUUCUCUCCGUGAAACAAAAAAAUGAACAAAAUUUCUGAAACUUCAAAUCCAAAUUGAUGUUCUUGUUGAUCUUCAUAAUCAUGGAGUUUGGUAAAAUUUCUGAAACCUCAAUUCAAAAUCGAUCGCUCCGGCUACAUAAAAUUCCACUCAGUUGAACAACGCCCACCACCUGUUGGACAAAAUGACUGCAUUUGCUGUUUCUAAUCAAUCCAACGACAAAGGAGAACAAAAAAUUCAAUUUCCAGACAACCGACAAGGGAAUUCUCGUCCUGGUUACAUAUCAUGUGUGGACUUGGGAUAUGAUUCAGUUAAGGAUGAUUUUAAGGUCUAUCCCGGAGCAUGGACUGCCAUUAUGGUUUCACUUGACAUUUCCGGCAUUUUGAAUAUAUGAGCUGAAAACUUGCACUCUUGGUAUCGGGGAAAGGAGGUUUAUUUAAGUGUUCUGAAUUAUGUAAAGGACAGUUCAGAGGUUCGUUUGCCAGAUAACACAAUCUGUUGCGGCUUACUAUCAUCAUAACAAAGGAACUCUCCUCCACCAACUGAAGUCCAUGAAUGCUAUGUGAUCCAUGAAGCUUGUAGUUAAUAAAUUGUAUUUUUGUUUACAUGUCAACUCCACUUUUUUUGGAGUAGUUGUAUAUACGGAGUAAAUAGAUAGGGGUGUCAAAUCGGGUCAUCGGUUCGGUUUCGAUUCGGGUUGAAACCGGUUCAUUUUGCUAUCGUUCGGUUCAGUUCGGGUCGGGUUGAAAAAUUAACGGUUCGGUUCAGGUUCGGGUUAUGUGGCACGGGUUUAUAUCCGGUCGGGUUCAUGUCGGAUCGGGUUUGUAUCGGGUCUGGUCAUAAACGGGUUAAGUCGGAUUCAUAUUGGUUCGGGUUAGAAUCGGGUCGGGGUUCAUAUCGGGUCGAGUCAGAUCAGGUCGGAUUGUAGUUGAGUCGGGUCAAUUUGGUUCGGUUUGUUAACGGGGUUAGCCAGAUUGUAAUCAGGUCGGGUUCAUAUCGGGUCGGGCUCAUGUUUAGUCAGAUCAAUUCGGAUACACUACAAACAAUGUCGAGUUAUUAUUAAAAUCACAAUUUUCAA
Molecule: long non-coding RNA, 1254 nt
Organism: Spinacia oleracea (spinach)
Lineage: Eukaryota; Viridiplantae; Streptophyta; Magnoliopsida; Caryophyllales; Amaranthaceae
Exons: 3
Source: RefSeq, a predicted model, not a curated record